UAGGGAAUCUUCCACAAUGGGCGAAAGCCUGAUGGAGCAACGCCGCGUGUGUGAUGAAGGGUUUCGGCUACGUAAAACACUGUUGUAAGAGAAGAAUGACAUUGAGAGUAACUGUUCAAUGUGUGACGGUAUCUUACCAGAAAGGAACGGCUAAAUACGUACCAG
Molecule: ribosomal RNA, 165 nt
Filed under: uncultured bacterium
Lineage: Bacteria
Description: partial 16S rRNA
Rfam family: Bacterial small subunit ribosomal RNA
Source: RNAcentral